This 202-nucleotide ribosomal RNA is filed under the name uncultured bacterium. RNAcentral's name for it is "partial 16S ribosomal RNA". It matches the Rfam family "Bacterial small subunit ribosomal RNA", at positions 524 to 725 of the family's 1533-position model. The record is from RNAcentral.
UACGGAGGGGGCAAGCGUUGUUCGGAAUUAUUGGGCGUAAAGCGCACGUAGGCGGCUUUGUAAGUUAGAGGUGAAAGCCCGGGGCUCAACCACGGAAUUGCCUUUAAGACUGCAUCGCUUGAAUCCAGGAGAGGUGAGUGGAAUUCCGAGUGCAGAGGUGAAAUUCGUAGAUAUUCGGAAGAACACCAGUGGCGAAGGCGGC